Non-coding RNA from Paramuricea clavata, 906 nucleotides. Lineage: Eukaryota; Metazoa; Cnidaria; Anthozoa; Malacalcyonacea; Plexauridae. The record is from the annotation of a GenBank genome assembly.
AGGCUUUAUCCUUUGUUCUUGUUUAACAAAAUCGAUUUAAAUUGUUACUUUUUUACCACUAAGUAAUGAUAAAUUAUUGUUAACAUUUUUUUUAUUUUUUGGAUGCUCAGAAUGCAGGAAAUAGCAUUUCACGGUUUCAAAUUUCAAAAAUUUUCUUGGGAUUAUCCCUCUAAUAAGUAAUGAUAAAUUACAGUUAAUAUUCUUUUUUACUUUUAAUUUUGUGCAUUUUUCCAUCUUUUAUUUCAAAUACAACUAUAGUUAGCAUAGAUUUUAGAGCAAAUUUGGAUGCUCAGAAUGCAGGAAAUGGCAUUUCCGUGGUUCAAAUUUCAAAAAUUUUCUGGGGGAAUACAUCCCCACACACCUGACCAUUGCUAUCCUCCUCUAAUAAGUAACGAUAAAUGAUGGUUAAUUUUUUUUACUUUUUGUGCGUUUCUUCCUUUAUUUAUUUCAAAUACAAGUAUGGUUAGCCAGUUAGGAUAAAUUUUGGAGCAAAUUUGGAUGCUCAGAAUGCAGGAAAUGACAUUUCCGGGAGUCAAAUUUCAAAAAUUUUCUGGGGGAGUACACCCCCAGACCCCCCAUUCAUGCGUGGUAUAUUUGCCACACACGUGGCUUUCAGCCAUUGCUAUCCCCCUCUAAAAUAUUAUCUCACAGAAAGGUCCCUUUUCAAAAAAUGCCCCCCCACGGGAAAAUCCUUAAAAAAGGCCCUGAUUAUAGGUCUUUCACCUGAAAUGUUGAAGUUCAUUGAUUUCUUAGUUUCAGGUAGUUGCAUCUGAUACAGGGGUGCACAGAGAGAGGACUGAAAUGAACAAAACCCCAAAUAAAUCCACCUGCAUGGACUGGAAGUGACAUUAUCUACCAAUUAAAUUGUUUCUGACUUGAUGUCUGACUAGCAUGUGUGACUUUCUC